UGGCAUUGUAGGCUUGGUCAUGUGAAUAAGAAUAGGAUUGAUAGGUUGAUCAAGAAACGUAUUCUUGAAAUAGAUGAUUGUGAAUUAUUGCCUACCUGCAAAUCUUAUCUACUUCGUAUGAUGACUAAGUCAUCUUUUAAGAAAAAAGGUGAUAGAGCCAAUGAUGUCCUAAGUCUAAUACAUAUGAUGUAUGUGGACCUAUGAACAUAAUGUUGGAUGUAUGCCCUAGAAGCCAAUCUUGG
This 242-nucleotide long non-coding RNA is filed under the name Elaeis guineensis (African oil palm). RNAcentral describes it as "long non-coding RNA (EGUI_LNC051228)". Lineage: Eukaryota; Viridiplantae; Streptophyta; Magnoliopsida; Arecales; Arecaceae. The record is from RNAcentral.